This 436-nucleotide unclassified non-coding RNA is filed under the name Matricaria matricarioides. Its description in RNAcentral is "partial contains external transcribed spacer and small subunit ribosomal RNA". The record is from RNAcentral. Lineage: Eukaryota; Viridiplantae; Streptophyta; Magnoliopsida; Asterales; Asteraceae.
UAAAGGUGCAUGAGUGGUGUUUGGUUUGUUACGUGUGGUUGGCUGCGGCGCUUGCAACAACUUCCAUGCUUUCAUACCUCUUCAGUAUUGCGGCAAGGCUUGUAAUGCCUUGAUCGUGUUGUGGGUUUACUGUGUUGAAUACCUAACCAAUGGUAUCGGAUGGAUUGAUCAAAUUUUCAUUUCGUCUUGCGUUGCUCUUGCGAUGUGAGGUGAACCAUGAUGCGGUCUCUUUGAUCCACCUUGUUGAGGCACAUGCUUUGACAUUGUGGCACAUUGAGCAUUGCUUGGUCUCUUGUAUACGGAACAUAUAGUGGGCAUGGAUCUAAUGAUUCCUGUUUGCCCUCAUAUUCUCGCUUCUUUAAAACGACCUGCACAACGUGUUGGCUUGUCCAACCGUGGUGCUACGUCGAAGAGGAAUGCUACCUGGUUGAUCCUG